UAUCUGCUGCCUUCAGCGAGUUCGGGAAAUAAGCAUCCUUUCUAAUGUUAGCUUCUAAGGUUGGAGAGGAUUUAAGAAAUAAGAUUGUGUACAAAACUGAACUCGCUUGUCUGAAGAAGGCUGCACAAAGCUUCUACACUCCUUCCGAGCACCUAAUAAGAUUUGCUUGGGCUCUAGAAAGGUCUGAGCACUUAACUCAUCUUGAGGGUAACCAACGGAUAGAAAAUUAUUUUUAAUUUGGGUUCACUCAGUACACAUUUUUUUUUUAACGCCCUGGAGAAUUUACAUAUUGAAUUCUAAAAUAUAUAAAAGAAAUUCAACUCUUUGCAGCUAACAACACUGGCUCCUACUGAAAAGUAUAAGUAGAAACUGCCUGAUCAGUUUUGGUGAAAGAGAGAAUUGUUUAUAAUUAGCAAUUACUUUUUUAGCAUCCAAAUAGCUGUCUGUUUGCUCUCCUUAGAUAAAUUCACAUCACUCACCAUCUUAUUUUAAUUUAAGAAAAAUUUCUUUCCAUUACAGAUAUAAUAUAAACUCCUAUUAAAAAUUUGGAAACUAAAAAUAAAGAGAAGGGGAAGAAUUUCUCCAUAGUCUCACCUGCAAAUACAUUGCGAUGUAUUUUCUUCCUUUUAAGCCUUUCUGUCAUUGAAGGCUGGGCUUUGAAAUCUGUUGCCCAAGGAUGGAAAGGUCAGUAGUGAAGAUGGUUCUAGGGUUCAGAAAGAGGGAGAUGCGUGGUAGAGAUGCCGUUGGCAGAAACACGUUCUGCCAUUUGGGCCUUGACUGAACUGAAAGGACCAAACAGGAGUCACCCACCCCAGGAGCAGUGGGCACCGGCGGAGGCUGAUGUUCACCCACAGGCUUGGGCAGCUCCUCCCACCACCUCUGCACACUGGCUUCCUCCCUCCCUGAAGGAGGCUGCUGCAUUUCACCUCCCUAGGGAGGUUCUCCCUGGUCACCUACACCCCUCCCACCUUCUGCUCUCCCUCCCUCUCCCCCUCUCUUCCCCUUCCUCUGUAGCAUUUACCCCACCUGAUGUAGGAUAAGAGGACCGUUUCUGUGGUCUCACAGGAGUUUCUUAGACUGGAUUUUCUAGAAUGCAUGGAGACCCACUUCUUGGUCUUUGUCACUCUAAAUGGGAAAUACAUUAAAAAGCUGGUGUUUUCCUGUUCCUACCAAGGCACUUUCUUAGAGCCACACCCCUCCUGGGGUUCAAUGCCCUGGUCUCCUCUCCCCCUUCCCUGUUUCUCUGUACUGUUCAAAAAGUACCUUUCACAACAGCAGUCUGUCUUUUUCAUCCCUGCAUGGGAGCCCUGACGGCCUUAAAAAGCAGCAGUCACAGUUUUGAGUUACCACUUUUCUGCUUGGCCUGGGACUCAUAUUUCUGUUUGAUCUUGACUUUGUGAGUCAAGGUGGUAGUGAAAGAACGCAAGCCUUCCACCUGAGAAGAGGGUGGCAAGAUUUGGAAGACCUACCUGAUUGUCCUUGUUGGUACUGGGAAUUUUUGUUUCAGGGGCCUUCCUGUGAAUUUUAGUAGGGUGCUGGGCGAGGCUGUUCCAGGGUUUUCAUCCAGAUUCGCCAUUUAAAAUUGGGCUUCUAUUUAUACCUUUGAUUUAUUGGAAAACUCUUCAUAAGGAAUAUAAAGGGGAACUAUGGGCCACUCAAUUCAUCUUCCAAAGGGUAAGCUAGAGCCCAUGGUUCUCAGUUAUGUCUAUACUAUAAAAUAUUUAAAAGAGUGCUUCCAAAUGCACAGAAAUAUUUUUUAGUAAUUUGUAUUGGCCACAUUCACUGUUCUGAUAUGGCAAAUAUUAGUGAAUUUUUAUUGUUUUAAAGAAAUCUACAUGAUUAACUAAGAGAUUUGACUAUGGAUUACACAUGGCUCACCUCCCUUUUUAAAUGCAAAGAACUGAAGACUAAUAGGAAAAUUAUAUCAGAACCCAUAGAAAUAAGUAAAUAUAUUCAAACAGCUCUUGGGCAGUUUAUUGAUACUGAAAUGUUUUCUUCCCUUGAAAACAUGUGAAAUUUCCCUUUUAUCUUCCUUGAAGUAUAUCAGAAUAAACUAGUGACUAUAUAAUUAAAAUUCAGGUAUUUUGUUACAUUUUGACAAUAGGCUUCAACUUCUUCUCCUCUGAAUUUAUAUUUCAGAAUACUUAUUUGCAGCUUGUUGGUAAUGCAUUUGGUUGCAGCCUGAGACAUUUCCAGGUCGAAAGCCAGGUUCACAUUUUUGCUUUGAGGAGACAGAAAUUCCAAACAAAUACAGAUGGUCAGGCCAUAAACUAAAUUAAAAUUUCUGCUUUCCUGGAUGUUACAUUAAAUAUGGCCACCAUGCCAAGAGAAAUACAUGAAAAAUCCAUUUGCAUCACAUCCUGCUGCUUCCACAUGGUAUAAAAUAACAGAAUGCUAAGAAGUGUGUGUUUGUGUAAAUGCGUGCAAGAGCAUGUGUGUGUCAAUCCAGUUCCCUCUGUUGGCUUGACUACCAUACAUGUUUUGACUAAUAAAAGAUGUAUUUUAAUUAAAAUCUGGGAUUGACCAGAUGUAUAUCCAUAAACUUUUCAUACAUAUGUAUAUAAUACUUGAACACCAUAUUAAAUACUUUUGGAAGUAC
Molecule: non-coding RNA, 2599 nt
Organism: Ictidomys tridecemlineatus (thirteen-lined ground squirrel)
Lineage: Eukaryota; Metazoa; Chordata; Mammalia; Rodentia; Sciuridae
Source: RefSeq, a predicted model, not a curated record